This is an unclassified non-coding RNA of Cavia aperea (Brazilian guinea pig), 309 nucleotides long. Its record names the gene 7SK. It matches the Rfam family "7SK RNA". Rfam says of the family: 7SK was discovered as an abundant small nuclear RNA in the mid-70s but a possible function has only recently been suggested. Two independent studies have found that 7SK RNA binds the CDK9/cyclin T complex (known as elongation factor P-TEFb). Lineage: Eukaryota; Metazoa; Chordata; Mammalia; Rodentia; Caviidae. The record is from Ensembl.
GGGUGUGAGGGAGAUCUGGUUGCGACAUCUGUCACCCCAUUGAUCGCCAGGGUUGAUUCGGCUGAUCUGGCUGGCUAGGCGGGCGUCCCCUUCCUCCCUCAACGAUCCAUGUGCGUCCCUCCCAAAGCUGCACACUCGGUCGAAGAAGACGACUACCCCCGAUAGAGGAGGACCGUUCCUUGGUCAAGGGUAUACGAGUAGCUGCACUCCCCUGCUAGAACCUCCAAACAAGCUCUCAAAAAAAACAAGUACAGGAGUUUCUGGGGGCAGUUGGAUACUGAUACUGUAGGCUAUGGAUUCUAAAUUUUA